Long non-coding RNA from Clupea harengus (Atlantic herring), 356 nucleotides. The record is from Ensembl. NCBI's taxonomy places the organism in Eukaryota, Metazoa, Chordata, Actinopteri, Clupeiformes, Clupeidae.
UUGCUCUCUCUCUUCUGGACUCCGAUCAGGGAAGAGUUUCUCCAGGUACCUCUCCUCUGCAGUAGUGAUCUCGCUUUCACCAAUCACUGUCCCCCACCACAAGAGGCCAGGACUCCUAUCCCCUCCUCUAAACCCUUUGAGGUCCAGAAUCCCUUCCAUACCAUCUGUAGUCGUGACGUGAGAUACUCUUGAACAAUGGAAUUCUACAGGUCGAGGAUAAUGUGGAACUUUGCCCUUAGGUGGUUUAUUUGGUUCAGCCACAUUUCUACCAAUGUACCCGUUGCGGUGUUUCAUGACGUUUUUCUUCUUCAGAUCAUCUAUAGCCAUGUGUUCCCCACGUACAUAAUGUUCAUCGA